AUCCUAUUGGCUGCAGGUGGCGUUGGCAGCCAUCUUGUUCCACCAUCUUGAAUCCCAUUGGCUGCAGGUGGCGUUGGCAGCCAUCUUGGUCCACCAUUUUGAAUCCUAUUGGCUGCAGGUGGCACAGGUGGCCAUCUUGGUCUGCCAUCUUGAAUCCUAUUGGCUACCGGUGGUUUAGGUGGCCAUCUUGGUCCGCCAUCUUGAAUCCUAUUGGCUGUAGGUGGCAUUGGCGGCCAUCUUGUUCCACCAUUUUGAAUCCUAUUGGCUGCAGGUGGUGUUGGCAGCCAUCUUGGUCCGCCAUCUUGAAUCCCAUUGGCUGCAGGUGGCAUUGGCAGCCAUCUUGUUCCACCAUUUUGAAUCCUAUUGGCUGCAGGUGGAAUGGGGUUGGAGGCCAUCUUGGCCUGCUAUCUUGGAUCCCAUUGGCUGCAGGUGGUGUUGGCAGCCAUCUUGGUCUGCCAUCUUGAAUCUCAUUGGCUGUAGGUGGCAUAGGCGGCCAUGUUGGUCUGCCAUCUUGAAUCCCAUUGGCUGCAGGUGGUGUUGGCAGCCAUCUUGGUCCGCCAUCUUGAAUCCCAUCGGCUGCAGAUGGCACAGGUGGCCAUCUUGGCACACCACUUUGAAUCCCAUUGGCUGUAGAUGGCGUUGGCAGCCAUCUUGGGCCCCCACCCUGUUGCUCAGCCACCCCACGGCAGCCAUCUUGGUAGCCAUCUUGUAGCCCCCUCCUCCCCCACUAACACCCUCUGUGCUCAGCCCUCCCCCCGCCCCGCAGGGCUCCCCCUCCUCCUUUUGGGGAUAAUCCGAGGUGUUUUGGGGUCCGCGGGAGGAGGAAAUGGGGGGCUGGGCGGGAGAAACCCCCCCCCCCCCGCCCCCAAAUAUUAAACCUGUGGACUUUUUGGUGGAAA
This is a long non-coding RNA of Gallus gallus (chicken), 899 nucleotides long. RefSeq lists it as uncharacterized. NCBI's taxonomy places the organism in Eukaryota, Metazoa, Chordata, Aves, Galliformes, Phasianidae. The transcript is spliced from 2 exons. The record is from RefSeq and is a predicted model, not a curated record.